This is a long non-coding RNA of Rattus norvegicus (Norway rat), 2395 nucleotides long. RefSeq lists it as uncharacterized. Lineage: Eukaryota; Metazoa; Chordata; Mammalia; Rodentia; Muridae. The record is from RefSeq and is a predicted model, not a curated record.
CGACGCUGAUUGGUUCACAGGGUUCACGGCACCCAAUGGGAGUGAGAAUUGUCAGCGGGUCGUCAGUAUCCGGGCAGAAGGACCUGACACAGAAGUCAGACCCUGGAGUCUUCUAGAAGAAAAGCCACUUCCGGGAAUACAGUCACAACACAAGCCUUGUGGAUGCAGUGGAGAGAUGCUUCUCCUUUAAGAGGAGGCUCUGGCCUGCAGCCCCCCCCUCCCCCCCCGACCCCACAGAGACCAGGCUCUCUUAACUUGAUCAGUAGUGUGGGGAAAUAUUAAAUUUACACGUUUCUUCAUUCUGUGGAUGUCUCCAAAUCGCAGUCACAGAACUGAAGUGGAAAGAAGAGGAGAGAUGGGUGAGGGCUCCUGAAGAGAGGCACCCAUCACACAGAGCAACAAAUGUGGGUGAGCACAGGUGUGAACUCCAGUCACCUCCCCAUGCAGGUCUCCACAGCAGCCCAGCAGCCUCACCAGGAUUCUGCGGCUCCUGUUUCAGUGAACCACUCUUAGGUGCUGUGAGUGUUUUCCGUGGGAAGUUGAAGCUCUUAGGUUCCAUCCUGACUGACCUAAGGAUGCAGUUGGGGUAGGCAGCCCCACAGAAAGGAUCUGUCUCUGUUACUUUUCUUCUUAUUUAUUCUGGUUUUUGAGACAAGGUCUGUCUGCACUGCUCUGGCUGUCCUGGAACUUACUAUGUAGACCAAGCUGGCCUUGACCUCCCAGAGAUACAUGGCCUUUGCAUCCUGAGGGCUGGGUGUCACAGUUUCCCUUUCAUUGUUGUGAAGAAACACCAUGACCAAGGCAACACUUCUAAAAAGAAACAUUCAAUAGUGGCUGGGUAACAGUUUCAGGGGUUUAGUCCAUUAUAACAGGAAGCAUGGCAGCUGCAGGCAGACAUGGUGCUGAAGGAGCUGAGACUUCUACAUCUUGAUCCAAAGGCAGCCAGGAAGAGGCUCUCAUUCCUCACUGGGCAGAGCAUGAGCACAGAGACCUCAAAGCCCUUCCUCUAGGUGACACACUUCCUCCAACAAGGCCACGCCUAUUCCCACAAGGCCACACCUCCUACUAGUGCCACUCUUUGUGCGUCCAGCAUCCAAACACAUGAGUCUAUGGGGACCACCUAGUCAAUCAACCACAAUAGGAUUGAAGGCCUGUGUCAGCACACUAGCUCUAGUUAGUUUUUAUUACUGUGAUAAGACACUAAGACCAAGGUAUCUUACAAAAGAAUAUGUUUAAUCUGUUAUAUAGUUUAGAGGAUUUGAGUCCAUGAUGGCAGAGGAGAGGUGUGGUGGGGGAACAGCUGAGAGCUCCCGACUUGAUUUGCAAGUAACAGACUGAGACACUGGGAAUAGUGAAAGUCGAUUUUUAAAAAAAUUUUGAUAUAUAUGUAAUAUAAAAUAUUAUAUAUAAUAUAUAUAAUUUAUUCAUAAAGUACACUGUACUUGUCUUCAGACACCAUAAGAGGGCAUCAGAUCUCAUUACAGAUGUUGUGAGGUACCGUGUGGUUCCUGGGAUUUGAACUCAGGAGCAGUCGUUGCCCUUAACCACUGAGCCAUCUCUCCAGCCCAGUGAAAGUCUUUUGAAACCUCAGUGCACACACCAGUGGCACACAUCCUCCAUCAAGGCCACACCUCCCAAUCCUCUCUGAACAUGGCCUCAGCUGGAUUUGAAGGAUUCAUUCCCAUGAGCCUGUGUGGCUGUUCUCAUUCAAACCAGCACAGCAGUCACUGUGAAGUGUAAGAGGCCAGCAGGGUUCUGGAGAUGUGUCCAGUGCAGGCUGAGGGAAAUGCCCUCACACAGGGCACUCUGCUGAGUUAGGUCUCCCCUUUGCCUCUGUCUCCUCCUGCUCAGCCCCUCUGUGUCUCUGUCCCUCAGGUCUCACCCCAUCCAUGCCCAGCUCCCCUCCCUCCUGGGCUCUGCACUGACCCUGUCUCUUCCUUGGCCUCUGGUUUCUCUAUGGCGUCAGCCAGCAGCUGUGAGGCAGCUGUGUGGUUCCUGAGGCAAACAUUCCAAUGGUGGCUGGGGAGAGGGCUCAGCAGCCAGGAGCACUUGUUGCUGGUGCAGAGGAUCCAGGCUGAGUUCCCUCAGCACACGGUGGCUUCCACCGUCUGUGACUUCAGUUCCAAGGGAUCAAUGGCUGUGCACCUACAUGUUUAUAUGCACAAAGAGGACAGGUCAUGAAAAUAAAAUAUAAAAACAUGAUUUUAAUAAUCCUGCCUGUCUUUCUUCUACACAUCGAGAGUGUGAGGCCAGGGGCGGAGGGCACAGUGCUGUUCAGACAACAGUGGACCACCAGCCAAUGAAGAGAGCUCUGUAACAGGAAGUCUGAGAUGGUUGAAAUAGUGUGUAUUGAAAUGACAGUUUGCAGAACAGCAUAAAAUUAAAUAUACAAAAG